Molecule: ribosomal RNA, 381 nt
Filed under: uncultured eukaryote
Lineage: Eukaryota
Description: SSU rRNA
Rfam family: Eukaryotic small subunit ribosomal RNA
Source: RNAcentral
AGCUCCAAUAGCGUAUAUUAAAGUUGUUGCAGUUAAAAAGCUCGUAGUUGAACUUUGGGUUUGGUUGUCCGGUCCGGAUCUUUCCGUGUACUGGUAUGCAACCGAACCUUUCCUUCUGGCUAACCUUGGGUUCCUUGUGGAUCCUUGGCGAACCAGGACUUUUACUUUGAAAAAAUUAGAGUGUUCAAAGCAGGCGUAUUGCUCGAAUAUAUUAGCAUGGAAUAAUGGAAUAGGACGUUUGGUUCUAUUUUGUUGGUUUCUAGGACCAUCGUAAUGAUUAAUAGGGACGGUCGGGGGCAUCAGUAUUCAAUUGUCAGAGGUGAAAUUCUUGGAUUUAUUGAAGACUAACUACUGCGAAAGCAUUUGCCAAGGACGUUUUCA